UACAGAGGGUGCGAGCGUUGUCCGGAAUCACUGGGCGUAAAGGGCGCGUAGGUGGCGGGCCAAGUCGGUGGUGAAAGCUCGAUGCUUAACAUCGAGUCGGCCAUCGAAACUGGUUUGCUCGAGCACUGUAGGGGCAGAUGGAAUUCCGGGUGUAGCGGUGGAAUGCGUAGAGAUCCGGAAGAACACCGGUGGCGAAGGCGGUCUGCUGGGCAGUUGCUGACACUGAGGCGCGACAGCGUGGGGAGCAAACAGG
This 253-nucleotide ribosomal RNA is filed under the name uncultured prokaryote. RNAcentral's name for it is "partial 16S ribosomal RNA". It matches the Rfam family "Bacterial small subunit ribosomal RNA", at positions 524 to 776 of the family's 1533-position model. The record is from RNAcentral.